This 368-nucleotide ribosomal RNA is filed under the name uncultured bacterium. RNAcentral's name for it is "bacterial SSU rRNA". It matches the Rfam family "Bacterial small subunit ribosomal RNA", at positions 28 to 412 of the family's 1533-position model. The record is from RNAcentral.
GAUCAACGCUGGCGGCGUGCCUAACGCAUGUAAGUCGAACGCAGCGCCUUCGGGCGCUGAGUGGCGAACGGCUGAGGAACACGUACGAACCUGCCCUCUCGUGGGGAAUAACGCCGCGAAAGCGGUGCUAAGACCGCGUACGCUGGGACCAAUGGUCUCAGGAAAGCCUUCGGGGCGCGGGAGGAGGGGCGUGCGGCCCAUCAGGUGGUUGGNGGGUAACGCCUACCAAGCCAAUGACGGANCUGGUCUGUGAGGACGAUCAGCCAGACUGGGACUGCGAAACGGCCCAGACACCUACGGGUGGCAGCAGCGAGGAAUCUUCCACAAUGGACGCAAGUCCGAUGGAGCAACGCCGCGUGGAGGACGAC